RNAcentral lists this ribosomal RNA (486 nucleotides) under uncultured bacterium. Its description in RNAcentral is "partial 16S ribosomal RNA". It matches the Rfam family "Bacterial small subunit ribosomal RNA", at positions 28 to 507 of the family's 1533-position model. The record is from RNAcentral.
GAUGAACGCUGGCGGCGUGCCUAAUACAUGCAAGUCGAACGCUGGAAAUCUAGCUUGCUAGCUUGAAGGUUUGGCGCACGGGUGUGUAUUACAUAAGCAACCUACCCACGAAGACUGGGAUAAUCUCUGGAAACGGGGACUAAUACCGGAUAGGUAAUCGGAAGGCAUCUUCUGAUUAUUAAAGGUUAAAAACACUGGUGGAUCGGCUUAUGUCGCAUUAGUUAGUUGGUGAGGUAACGGCCCACCAAGACGAUGUUGCGGAGCCGGCAUGAGAGGGUGAACGACUACAUUGGGAACGAGGCACAGACCAGACUCCGACGCGAGGCAACAGUAUGUAAUGCUAGGCGAUGAAGCAAGACCGAGCCGAGCCACGUGGCUUAAGUGAUGCCGGCCAUCGUGUUGUAAAGCUAUGUUGUAAGAGAAGAACGGUAGAUAGAGAAUAUCUAAAUGACGGUACCUUACCAGAAAGCCACGGCUAACUACGUG